This 396-nucleotide ribosomal RNA is filed under the name Synurella ambulans. RNAcentral's name for it is "partial 16S ribosomal RNA". It matches the Rfam family "Archaeal large subunit ribosomal RNA", at positions 2046 to 2666 of the family's 2987-position model. The record is from RNAcentral. Lineage: Eukaryota; Metazoa; Arthropoda; Malacostraca; Amphipoda; Crangonyctidae.
UUGUUUUUUAAUUGAAAACUGGCAUGAAUGGUUGAACGGUGUAGAGCUGUUUCUUUGAGGUUGGUAAAACUUAGAGUUUAUGUAAAAAUACGUAAAUGGCCCGACGGGACGACAAGACCCUAAAAGCUUUAUACCUAAAAGUUUGUGUCUAAGCCUAAAACUCAAGGUAAUUAGCUGGGGCAGCUGACUUAAUAAAAUUAAGUUUCGAAAAAAUCAGGAUAAGGAGCAAAUAGAUCUUUUUUAUAAGAAGGGAUAGAGUUAGUUACUUUAGGGAUAACAGCGUAAUAACUUUGGAGAGACCUAAUCGAUAUAGUUGAUUGCGACCUCGAUGUUGAAUUAAGAGGCCCCCGCGAGGUAGAAUGUGCGGGAGGAAGUUUGUUCAACUUUUUAUUUCUU